UACGUAGGGGGCAAGCGUUGUCCGGAAUCAUUGGGCGUAAAGAGCGUGUAGGCGGCCCGAUAAGUCCGCCGUGAAAGUCCAGGGCUCAACCCUGGAAUGCCGGUGGAAACUGUCGGGCUGGAGUCCGGAAGAGGCGAGUGGAAUUCCUGGUGUAGCGGUGAAAUGCGCAGAUAUCAGGAGGAACACCAAUGGCGAAGGCAGCUCGCUGGGACGGUACUGACGCUGAGCCGCGAAAGCCAGGGGAGCGAACGGG
Molecule: ribosomal RNA, 253 nt
Filed under: uncultured bacterium
Lineage: Bacteria
Description: partial 16S ribosomal RNA
Rfam family: Bacterial small subunit ribosomal RNA
Source: RNAcentral